Molecule: long non-coding RNA, 2768 nt
Organism: Ictalurus punctatus (channel catfish)
Lineage: Eukaryota; Metazoa; Chordata; Actinopteri; Siluriformes; Ictaluridae
Source: Ensembl
GUAACAAACCGUUUUGUUUCUUUUCUUCGGUCUUGCAGUCUCAAAAGUCUCCGCCGUUUCAUUACCGCGUUCGUUUCGGACGUCUCUAAGCAAACAGAAAUGCCGUCGGAGCGCCGUGUUUUUGUUUAUUUAUUUUUACCCGGUAUUGCGUAAUUGGAUUUGCUCUGAAUGGCCUUUGAGAGCCUCCUUGUAGCAUCGUGAACAGUGAAUUACCAAGCAGUAGGUGGUAAACAUCAGGUCUUCGAAUAAUAUCAGUUACCGCCUUACGCAACGCUCACAACAUGUUGCUCGAACGUCUCAUAAACACGUUUAUCUUUAGGGAACAAUCCUAGAUGAAUAGGUAUAAAUAAAUAGGCUUUAAAAAAUAGCUCUGGACAAGCACAUGUCAUGGAACUACAAACACGACUCCAUCUGAGCUCUCAAGCGGAGUCACCUCUCAUCUCUGGCUGGAGGAUUAAAAAAAAAAAAUGUUUAAAAAAAACCAAAAAAACAACACGUUCUUUUUCAAACCUUCACGUCUUUGUAAGGCGAUGAAGAGCGUGAGUCGCAAGGCCGUCGGGGUCUCCUCUGCUCUCGGCUCGAUCUUGUCUCUCCGCUCCUCAGAGCUUUGGCAUGAAAAGCAUCCUCUGGGGACAGAGAGGAAAAGCUCAGGUAAGGAGACGUCUUCGGGGCACUGGAAGACGCUCGGGUGAAAGAAACACAUGGCAGAUGGACUUUAAGAGUAAACUGCUUGCUAUGAUUUUGAUUUAUUUAUUUUAUUUUUUUUUCCUUUUUUUCUGUGUUCCUCCAGAGCUCCAGGUCACUCGAGGUGUCAAUACAUUGAUCCUUUAUAUCCUGCUACACACCACAGCGCUGUCGAAUUCUUGAUUCUGAUUGGCCGGCGACUCGGAGGGUACGGAAGGAGUCUCCAGUGUCAGAGGAGAUGGAGGAGUUUACGCUUACAUGGAUUCUCUGUAACAUGACGAGAAAGGCCGCUGUAACGUAAGUGAGAACAGGAACUAACUCGUCUCACGUUCCACAACGUUGAAUGUAACUAUAAACGGAUAAAAACUACGCCAAUGUUCUUGUACAAGAGGAAUAAAACACGACAGAAUGCUGUCAUUGAAAAAACAAUUAUUCAUCUUCGAGGUGGCAACAGCGACGCUGCUUCAUAACACCCCACCCUGAAGUUGAUUACUUUCCUAUAACAGCACCACGCUAAGUGUUUUAACGCGCUGAAAUAGCUUACUCCCAAGUUUUAUUUGUUAAUUUUUUUGAGCUAAUUUGAUUUUUCGCCCCUGAACACAAAACAAACAGGUGCGUAUUCACUGCCAGCCCGUUUGAUGUGGAGCGCUUAAACGUUUCGUUUUUUUUUUACAGUAGCAAUCGCUCGAGUUAUUCGAUCUCUCUCGUGAAAUCAAUUAGCAUCUCAUCUAGAGACGAGGAGCCGCAUGAGAUCUUAGCAUUUCACAGCGGUUUGACUCCUCGCCCAUACGGUCGUGUCACUUAUUUCCACGGUUUUUGCUAGAACGUCCUAUAAAACCCUGGACAUCUUGUAGACAAAAACGAAAGUGCUACGUACAGAUUAAUUACGCUCCUCGCAGAAAACUUCACCAUGUCAACGGUUGCGCAUGUUUUUUAAUCCGAUUACACGGCCUGCCCGGUGAACGAGCUGCUACUAUAGAAACGAUUAUGCAGUGAUAUAAAUCCUGCUGCUGUUACUGAAAAUGAAUCGACACCUUCCGACCAAUCGGAUUUCCGUGUUGCAGAAAUAUCAGAAACUGGACGUUAUUUGUUCUCUAUAAAGUUUUACACUGCAUAUGUUUUGAAUGUAUGCAAGAGAGAGAGAGAGACAAAAUGAAGAGCAGAGAGAGGGGGAGGGGUUUCAUGUUAUUAGCAUUAAAAAGACCGCCCACUAUUUGAAGCUUUUGCCUCAUCUGCUGAAUCAUAAUUUCGUUCAAAAUCUAAUGCCCUCGCAGGCCAAGGACACUGAUGGCUAAGGCCUUACUCACUCCUGGGAGCUUGUGCUUCCUAGUGUGUGUGUGUGUGUGUGUGUGUGUGUGGGGCCGGCGGUCUCUGCCCUAGCCCAUCUGCUACUUUUCCCACAACCUUAUUUGAGCUGUCGAGAAGCGUGUGUAAAAAGUGACGCAAGUGCAAUCAACACAUGAAUUAAAAUGUCAUUUGUUCUGACUUGGAGGGGGGAGGAAGAAAAAAAACCCCCACACGCCGUCGAUUUGACGAGAUAACAGAGUGGUAAUGAAAAAACAUUCUGAAAUACGACCGCCGCGGGCACAUCUGGACGAAGUUAAAAACGACUAACGGUUCAGUUUAAACGGACAGAAAUAAAAUCGCCGAUUACGUGUUUUUCUUUUCUUAAAAAUUCCUUUCAAUAAACGAAGCCGUUACAUAUUUUCACCCACAACUGCCUUGUUGAGAUCAAUGACAAUCUCAUGAUCGCGCUAUAAUAUCAAUAGAACUCGUUCACCAACGAAAUAACACCAAUCAUUCCACUAUAUGGCAAAUAUCUCGUGUUUCGAAUAGCUGUACAAGCAGGCAGGAUGACGGUCUGUUUAAGAAACGGAAAGCGUUUGGGGGAAAAAAAAAAAGGUUAAAAAUUAUUUCCGUGGCCCGUCUCAGUACAGAGCGCUUGCUAUGAUUAGACUGAACUUUGUAAUUAUGGAAUAAAGCUGCGUAAGCGAAGGGACAAUGAAUAAAUAAAGACCUUGAACAUUAUCUCCACUAAUACGCCUCUCUCUCUCUCUCUCUCUCUCUCGCUCUGUUUCUCUCAG